AUGAAGCUUCGUCUCUCUCGCGGAAAUUCGGAAAACUCGCUAUUGUCUUAUAUGCCGGAAGUUUCCGUCAAAUCGUCGCAAGAUGAACACGGAUCCUACUUGUUUCGGUCACAUGAACAUGAACCCAUCGUUCAAUUCUUCCAAAUUGUCACGAAUCAACGGGAUCGAAGUCCUCUUCCAAAAAACCUAGGUGUUGCGAAUUUCACAGUGGCAACGCUAAAUUUCUAG
Non-coding RNA from Vicia faba (fava bean), 228 nucleotides. The record is from the annotation of a GenBank genome assembly. NCBI's taxonomy places the organism in Eukaryota, Viridiplantae, Streptophyta, Magnoliopsida, Fabales, Fabaceae.